CAACGAAUAUUCCGCAAUGGGCGCAAGCCUGACGGAGCGACGCCGCGUGAAGGAUGAAGUCCUUCGGGAUGUAAACUUCAAUAGUUUGCUAGGAACCAAAUUGGAUUAAUACGCUAGUUUGUUGACCAACAAAUGAAAGGGGUGGCUAACUUCGUGCCAGCAGCCGCGGUAAGACGGGGACCCCUAGCGUUGUUCGGAAUCACUGGGCUUAAAGCGCGUGUAGGCGGAUUGGCAAGUACUUUGUGAAAGCCCCGGCUUCAACCCGGGAAUUGCUCGGUAUACUGCCAGUCUUGAGGCAGGUAGGGGUUACUGGAACCUUAGGUGGAGCGGUGAAAUGCGUAGAUAUCUAAGGGAACGCCUGUGGCGAAAGCGGGUAACUGGGCCUGUCCUGACGCUGAGACGCGAAAGCGUAGGGAGCAAACG
RNAcentral lists this ribosomal RNA (423 nucleotides) under uncultured prokaryote. RNAcentral describes it as "bacterial SSU rRNA". It matches the Rfam family "Bacterial small subunit ribosomal RNA", at positions 355 to 774 of the family's 1533-position model. The record is from RNAcentral.